This 21-nucleotide non-coding RNA is filed under the name Caenorhabditis elegans. The record is from RNAcentral. Lineage: Eukaryota; Metazoa; Nematoda; Chromadorea; Rhabditida; Rhabditidae.
UAGUUUUGUUUCACCCCCGCC